This 495-nucleotide ribosomal RNA is filed under the name uncultured bacterium. RNAcentral describes it as "partial 16S ribosomal RNA". It matches the Rfam family "Bacterial small subunit ribosomal RNA", at positions 28 to 507 of the family's 1533-position model. The record is from RNAcentral.
GACGAACGCUGGCGGCGUGCCUAAUACAUGCAGGUAGGACGCUGAAGGAGGAGCUUGCUUCUCUGGAUGAGUUGCGAACGGGUGAGUAACGCGUAGGUAACCUGCCUGGUAGCGGGGGAUAACUAUUGGAAACGAUAGCUAAUACCGCAUAAUAUUGACUAUUGCAUGAUAGUCAGUUGAAAGGUGCAACUGCACCACUACCAGAUGGACCUGCGUUGUAUUAGCUAGUUGGUGGGGUAACGGCUCACCAAGGCGACGAUACAUAGCCGACCUGAGAGGGUGAUCGGCCACACUGGGACUGAGACACGGCCCAGACUCCUACGGGAGGCAGCAGUAGGGAAUCUUCGGCAAUGGACGGAAGUCUGACCGAGCAACGCCGCGUGAGUGAAGAAGGUUUUCGGAUCGUAAAGCUCUGUUGUAAGAGAAGAACGAGUGUGAGAGUGGAAAGCUCACACUGUGACGGUAUCUUACCAGAAAGGGACGGCUAACUACGUG